AAAAAAAAAAAAGAUUAAUAUUUCUUCUUCAUAAUUACAUUUUUCGUAGUGAAAUCUUAAGAUGACCACCUCCUUGGUGUAUUAAAUUAAAUGUUACCUUAAUUCAGCCCAAAACAUAAGAAAUAAUGAGGCUGCAGCCCAAGCCCAUUACAUAAAUCAAAACGGAAAACGUAAGACGCAGAGUAGUAGAUCCCACACUUUUGCGAGGAAUCUCCCAGACCCAAACCCAAACCCAAAGAAAGAAAUUCAAAAAAAUUAGAAUCGGAAGAUCAAAGCGCGAAAUUCCGAUUGCGUUGAAUCGGGAACGAUGGAUCCCAUCGCGAUCAGUGUCUUCAUCAUCUUCAUCGUCGCCGUCUCGAUCACCGUCUCCAUCUCUUUUCUCAUCCGAUGUCUCCGAGCUCGCUCUCUCCUCCCUCCAUCACUCUCUUCUCUCAUCCGACGUCUCUGCGGUGGUGCUCGCUCUCAACUGUUUGAGAUCAGCGAGUAUUUCUGGUGGCUCGCAACUGUUUGAGAGAUAAUUGAAACAUGAGGUAACGUUUCAGAGUGUGAAGGAUGGAAGUUAUAUGAGCUUUUUCUUUGGCUAUAUCAUUUUACAUU
RNAcentral lists this long non-coding RNA (597 nucleotides) under Brassica napus (rape). Its description in RNAcentral is "long non-coding RNA (BNAP_LNC022202)". The record is from RNAcentral. Lineage: Eukaryota; Viridiplantae; Streptophyta; Magnoliopsida; Brassicales; Brassicaceae.